Molecule: ribosomal RNA, 301 nt
Filed under: uncultured bacterium
Lineage: Bacteria
Description: partial 16S ribosomal RNA
Rfam family: Bacterial small subunit ribosomal RNA
Source: RNAcentral
CAGUCGCCACGGUAAUACGAAGGUCCCGAGCGUUGUUCGGAAUCACUGGGCGUAAAGGGAGCGUAGGCGGCGUGGUAAGUCAGAUGUGAAAUCCCGGGGCUCAACCCCGGAACUGCAUCCGAUACUGCCGUGCUAGAGGAUUGGAGAGGUAGCUGGAAUUCUUGGUGUAGCAGUGGAAUGCGUGGAGAUCAAGAGGAACACUCGUGGCGAAAGCGAGCUACUGGACAAUAUCUGACGCUGAGGCUCGAAGGCCAGGGUAGCGAAAGGGAUUAGAUACCCGCGUAGUCCCUGUCUCUUAUAC